AAUAUCGAUGAAAAUAUGUAUUGAUAUUAUGUUACAUUAUGUUGUUUACAUGCGGCGAAUACCGGAGAUAUUCUAUGUGAAUUGUACGAACCAUCAACUAGCAAUGAAUAUCGUGCCGAGAUUCAUGACUUUAUUCUACAACUUAUUCAAAACCCAUUGUCAUUUACAUCGUACGGCUUCUUUGAUCUCGGCUAUUCAUUAAUACAUAGUGUCAUCGGUACUGUAACGACUUAUCUCGUUAUUCUCAUACAAAUUGGGAACACAACACCACAAAUUUUCUUUGAUAAUUCGACACUAACCACUAAUCAUUUCUGAGAAAUUUAAUAGC
Vespa mandarinia (Asian giant hornet) is the source of this 328-nucleotide long non-coding RNA. The record is from RefSeq and is a predicted model, not a curated record. NCBI's taxonomy places the organism in Eukaryota, Metazoa, Arthropoda, Insecta, Hymenoptera, Vespidae.